UAUGAUUUCAUAUUUAUAGAAUAUAUAACUGUGAUUUCUAAAUGUGGUUCGUAUUUAUAGAAGAUAAUAUUUAAAUGCUAUUUAAUACUCAGAAUAUAUGUAUAAAUAUGUACAUAUAAAUUUGGCAUAUAUCUUGGCAUAUGUUUAUAGUAUUUACUCUGUUAUAAUAGGGGUGCACAAUAGACCAUUGCUGGUCACAGUGCUUGGGCUGGGUAGGCUCCUCCCUUUUUACUGCUACUGUCAUAAUAGGAAAAUUAUCAAUUACUCAUAUUUUGAUGGUAUUCUGUAUUGUAUUUUACAUUAAUUUUGUUUU
This 313-nucleotide long non-coding RNA is filed under the name Androctonus crassicauda. Lineage: Eukaryota; Metazoa; Arthropoda; Arachnida; Scorpiones; Buthidae. The record is from RNAcentral.